RNAcentral lists this ribosomal RNA (1374 nucleotides) under uncultured bacterium. RNAcentral's name for it is "bacterial SSU rRNA". It matches the Rfam family "Bacterial small subunit ribosomal RNA". The record is from RNAcentral.
CCUUAGAGUUUGAUCCUGGCUCAGGACGAACGCUGGCGGCGCGCCUAACACAUGCAAGUCGAACGAGCGAGAGAGAGCUUGCUUUCUUGAGCGAGUGGCGAGCGGGUGAGUAACGCGUGAGGAACCUGCCUCAAAGAGGGGGACAACAGUUGGAAACGACUGCUAAUACCGCAUAAGCCCACGGCUCGGCAUCGAGCAGAGGGAAAAGGAGCAAUCCGCUUUGAGAUGGCCUCGCGUCCGAUUAGCUAGUUGGUGAGGUAACGGCCCACCAAGGCGACGAUCGGUAGCCGGACUGAGAGGUUGAACGGCCACAUUGGGACUGAGACACGGCCCAGACUCCUACGGGAGGCAGCAGUGGGGAAUAUUGCACAAUGGGGGAAACCCUGAUGCAGCGACGCCGCGUGGAGGAAGAAGGUCUUCGGAUUGUAAACUCCUGUUGUUGAGGAAGAUAAUGACGGUACUCAACAAGGAAGUGACGGCUAACUACGUGCCAGCAGCCGCGGUAAAACGUAGGUCACAAGCGUUGUCCGGAAUUACUGGGUGUAAAGGGAGCGCAGGCGGGAAGAUAAGUUGGAAGUGAAAUCUAUGGGCUCAACCCAUAAACUGCUUUCAAAACUGUUUUUCUUGAGUAGUGCAGAGGUAGGCGGAAUUCCCGGUGUAGCGGUGGAAUGCGUAGAUAUCGGGAGGAACACCAGUGGCGAAGGCGGCCUACUGGGCACCAACUGACGCUGAGGCUCGAAAGUGUGGGUAGCAAACAGGAUUAGAUACCCUGGUAGUCCACACCGUAAACGAUGAUUACUAGGUGUUGGAGGAUUGACCCCUUCAGUGCCGCAGUUAACACAAUAAGUAAUCCACCUGGGGAGUACGACCGCAAGGUUGAAACUCAAAGGAAUUGACGGGGGCCCGCACAAGCAGUGGAGUAUGUGGUUUAAUUCGACGCAACGCGAAGAACCUUACCAAGUCUUGACAUCCUCUGACGAACGUAGAAAUACGUUUUCUCUUCGGAGCAGAGAGACAGGUGGUGCAUGGUUGUCGUCAGCUCGUGUCGUGAGAUGUUGGGUUAAGUCCCGCAAUGAGCGCAACCCUUAUGGUCAGUUACUACGCAAGAGGACUCUGGCCAGACUGCCGUUGACAAAACGGAGGAAGGUGGGGAUGACGUCAAAUCAUCAUGCCCUUUAUGACUUGGGCUACACACGUACUACAAUGGCGUUAAACAAAGAGAAGCAAGACCGCGAGGUGGAGCAAAACUCAGAAACAACGUCCCAGUUCGGACUGCAGGCUGCAACUCGCCUGCACGAAGUCGGAAUUGCUAGUAAUCGCAGAUCAGCAUGCUGCGGUGAAUACGUUCCCGAGCCUUGCACACACCGCCCGUCA